RNAcentral lists this ribosomal RNA (893 nucleotides) under Craterellus lutescens. Its description in RNAcentral is "eukaryotic LSU rRNA". It matches the Rfam family "Eukaryotic large subunit ribosomal RNA", at positions 75 to 932 of the family's 3401-position model. The record is from RNAcentral. Lineage: Eukaryota; Fungi; Basidiomycota; Agaricomycetes; Cantharellales; Hydnaceae.
UUCCCUCAGUAACGGCGAGUGAAGAGGGAAGAGCUCAGUUUUGAAAUCUGGCAGUCAUUCCACUGUCCGAGUUGUAAAUUGAAGAGAAUGUCAUCCACACUGGACCAUGUCUAAAUUGUAAUAAUCCACAGUCCUUUGAUGGAGUAUCAGAGAGGGUAAUAAUCCCGUCUUUAAUGUGGACCACCAGUGUUUAUGUGAUGCACUCUCUCAGAGUCGAGUAGUUUGGGAAUGCUGCUCUAAUGGGAGGUAAACUCCUUCUAAAGCUAAAUAUUGGCGAGAGACCGAUAGCGAACAAGUACCGUGAGGGAAAGAUGAAAAGAACUCUGAAAAGAGAGUCAAACAGAACGUGAAAUUGCUGAAAGGGAAGCGUUUGGAGUCAGAUGCAUCCUCAAUGUAAUACGGCUCAGUUGGCAGAGACUGAGAGUCAGUGACUUGAAGAUGGGCCAGCACUCACGUAGAUCAUUGGAGAAGGGGUCAUGGAAUGUAGCUCAAUUCUUGAGUGUUUAUAGCCUUGAUUCAUAUACAAUGUGUCUUAUGUGUGUUAAUUGACAGCACAAGUCUUGACUCAGUGCUUGACUGGCAUAAUGGCUCUAAGCGACCCGUCUUGAAACACGGACCAAGGAGUCUAACAUGUAUGCGAGUAUUAGAGUGAUUGAAACUCUGAAUGCGUAAUGAAAGUGGUCUUGACUGAGAAUCCUUAAUUAUGGGAGGCAUCAGUACCCUGAGUCUGUUAGUCUUUGACUAAAGAUUUGGAGGUAGAGCAUAUAUGUUGGGACCCGAAAGAUGGUGAACUAUGCCUGAAUAGGGUGAAGUCAGAGGAAACUCUGAUGGAGGCUCGUAGCGAUUCUGACGUGCAAAUCGAUCGUAGAAUUUGGGUAUAGGGGCGAAAGACU